RNAcentral lists this ribosomal RNA (487 nucleotides) under marine sediment bacterium ISA-6189. Its description in RNAcentral is "bacterial SSU rRNA". It matches the Rfam family "Bacterial small subunit ribosomal RNA", at positions 37 to 505 of the family's 1533-position model. The record is from RNAcentral.
UGGCGGCGUGCCUAAUACAUGCAAGUCGAGCGGAUUGAUGGGAGCUUGCUCCCUGAUAUCAGCGGCGGACGGGUGAGUAACACGUGGGUAACCUGCCUGUAAGACUGGGAUAACUCCGGGAAACCGGGGCUAAUACCGGAUAACUCAUUUCCUCGCAUGAGGAAAUGUUGAAAGGUGGCUUUUAGCUAUCACUUACAGAUGGACCCGCGGCGCAUUAGCUAGUUGGUGAGGUAACGGCUCACCAAGGCGACGAUGCGUAGCCGACCUGAGAGGGUGAUCGGCCACACUGGGACUGAGACACGGCCCAGACUCCUACGGGAGGCAGCAGUAGGGAAUCUUCCGCAAUGGACGAAAGUCUGACGGAGCAACGCCGCGUGAGUGAUGAAGGUUUUCGGAUCGUAAAGCUCUGUUGUUAGGGAAGAACAAGUGCCGUUCGAAUAGGGCGGCACCUUGACGGUACCUAACCAGAAAGCCACGGCUAACUACG